Molecule: ribosomal RNA, 503 nt
Filed under: uncultured bacterium
Lineage: Bacteria
Description: partial 16S ribosomal RNA
Rfam family: Bacterial small subunit ribosomal RNA
Source: RNAcentral
AUUGAACGCUGGCGGCAGGCUUAACACAUGCAAGUCGAGCGGGGUGAUGGUGCUUGCACUAUCACUUAGCGGCGGACGGGUGAGUAAUGCUUAGGAAUCUGCCUAUUAGUGGGGGACAACAUCUCGAAAGGGAUGCUAAUACCGCAUACGUCCUACGGGAGAAAGCAGGGGGUCACUUGUGACCUUGCGCUAAUAGAUGAGCCUAAGUCGGAUUAGCUAGUUGGGGGGGUAAAGGCCUACCAAGGCGACGAUCUGUAGCGGGUCUGAGAGGAUGAUCCGCCACACUGGGACUGGGACACGGCCGAGACUCCUACGGGAGGCAGCAGUGGGGAAUAUUGAACAAUGGGGGGAACCCUGAUCCAGCCAUGCCGCGUGUGUGAAGAAGGCCUUAUGGUUGUAAAGCACUUUAAGCGAGGAGGAGGCUCUUUUGGUUAAUACCCAAGAUGAGUGGACGUUACUCGCAGAAUAAGCACCGGCUAACUCUGUGCCAGCCGCCGCUGUAA